GUGGAGUAUAUGUUCGGCGUCGUAGG
RNAcentral lists this non-coding RNA (26 nucleotides) under Cricetulus griseus (Chinese hamster). Lineage: Eukaryota; Metazoa; Chordata; Mammalia; Rodentia; Cricetidae. The record is from RNAcentral.